GUGGUAGAGAAGACCAGGCCCCAGCGACAAUGACCGAUUUGUCCAAGGAUUACGGUAGGGUUAAGACUUGCAAGGCUGCGGCCACUUGGUGGGGAACACAGGUGAGAAUGCAGAUCUCAAGCUUGGGGCAGGUAGAUGAGGCCACAGGACACCUGUCCUACUGAGCAGCCUCAGCCCCACAGAGCCCAUGCUCCCAGCUGCACAGGGCAGCUGGGAUGCCCGCCCUGACUCGAGCACGCUGGUGACCUUGGACCAGGGCUCUGCCCUCUCUGGGCCCGUCUCGUCCCUGCUCUAAGACAAGGGCACUUUAACUGCAUCAGGAAAGAAAGCGGGUUUCGCCUCGUGUGUCAGUUUCCUGCACUGGCUGAGUGCUGCCUGGGGCACCACACGGAGAAGGAAAGGGCGUCACAAUCAAUUUGUCAUGUCUCCCUGGGGUGGGGACCGGAGUGGGCACACCCAGCCUGGAUCUAUCACCAGGAGCCCCCACCCCUGGGGCUCGGCGUCCAGUGAGUCCACGAGCCUGAAGCCUCCAUGAAUGCACCCCUCCCAGGGACCCCCCUUUGCCGCACAGGAAGCAGGAAACGCCUUGAGCCUCUUUCUGAGGAGCACCCAGAGCAUCGUGCGCUGUGGCCCUGCCCUGCCCCCAGAGGGCCCUGAGCCCAGUUGGCUUGUGAUCUUGGGCCCGUAUCCACAGUGACACAGGCCUGCUGCCCCGCCAGCUCCCCAUCACCUUCCCCUCUAAUUGAUUCUGACAGAUGACCAGGCCUACCUGCCUUCAGUGCGGACUGAGUACAAGCGCGGCGUCUGAGUGAAGGCAGGAAGGACCGUACCGAGAGGGAAGGGCAGGAGCGAGCCUUCCCCUCACCUUCCUGGUUCUUGGCUGUGUCCUGAAUAGAGCGGGAAGAAAAGGACUUACUGUGUGCCAGCCACUUCCAGUCUGUCCUUCGUGUGCUCUUCACUCGUAUCCUGAGAGGCGGUUAAUACCCCUACUUGCCAGAUGAGAAAACUGAGUCCCAGAAAGCUUCAGUGACUCCCCCUAGUACUAUCAUUAUGAGCAAGGCUGGGAGGCUGCCACUUCCAGAAUCCAGGUGUUUCCUCUUUCUAGCCCAAUGACCAUAAGCGCACCACACCUGUGGCUCAAAAGGAUAUCAGAUCUAGUACUGAUGUCUGUUUUGCCGAGUUACCGUGGGGUGUCGCCCGUUCACACUGCCUCACGGGCUGUUCCACUGUCGCCCAUAAAACUGAAGACUCUGUCUCCUCAAGACGAAACUCCAUCUGUCGGCAUCCCCCUUGGCCAGGCAGAGCCCAGACUUGAGCCAGGGUUUUUAACUGACAGCCUGAGAACCCUGAGGAUCCUUGUUUUCCAGAGACAUCUAUUGAGUCUGUGCAGCAGGGAGGCCCCCGGCCAGUCCAUAGCAGGUGCCCAGGGUUUGUGAGGAGAACAAGCCAGCCCCAGAGACAGACACUGGAUGCUGCAGAAGAAGGGACUGGAAGGGCCUAACGACUGCAAAGGCUGCCUGGCCCAGCUGUGGUGAGCUCUGGGUAAAGCAGUGCCAUGGCCCGCGGGGGUGGCUCUGCGGAGUCACAGGACCGCACCGCCUCCAGUAUUCACAGGUAGCUCAGACACACAGAGGACUGCCAGCUGGGACAAGCAGGAGAAGACUCAGUGUCGCUGUCACUCCAGCCCCAAACAAGAGACCUAUUGUUGUUGUUGUUGUC
Long non-coding RNA from Bos taurus (domestic cattle), 1719 nucleotides. NCBI's taxonomy places the organism in Eukaryota, Metazoa, Chordata, Mammalia, Artiodactyla, Bovidae. The record is from Ensembl.